CGGAUGCGGGUGACGGAUCGGAUACGGGUGGGCAAUUUUCAUCCACCACCCGACCCGUUAACCCGACCCAUAACCCGUUUAUUUAAAAAAAAAAAAACCUUUUUAGGUCCAACCUAAAAGCCUAACUAAAUGGUCCAACAUAAGCCCACUACGGCACUACCUAACCUAAUUUUCCUAAACCUAACAUUCUCACUCUGAUACUCUCAGUGUCUCACUCUCAUUCUCCCAACCUCCCUGUCUCCUUCUCUCUCAUUCACUCACGGCGGCAGUAAGGCACGACGCCUCUCAACUCUAGGCUUUUAGAGGCUAUUUUUAUCCAACUUUAAGGAAGUUGUUUGCUGCUGUUGCUGUUUUCAUCGUUUUGUGUUGCAAAGUGACACUACUACAAUAGUGCUACUAUUCUGCUACUUGCUUGUUGCCACUGAUUUCAAUUUUCCCACUUUUUUAAUGUUGCCAUGUGUUGGCAAACUUAGACUUGAUUUAACUCUAACUAGUUGUUUUUAUUGAAUAUGUGUGUACCGAUUAUUAAUCAAAAUUUGGAAGUUCUCUGUAUAAAUUGUGCAUUUACCCAAUCACCCGAUCCAUCCGUUUCACCCGUGGGUGAUGGAUGGAUGGAUGGAUUCGGGUAGAUGUUUGACCGGGUGAUGGAUGGAUCGGGUGGGGUGGAUGGAGGCGGGUGAUGGAUGCGGGUGAUGGUCCACCCGCCCCGAACCCGAUCCAUUUCCAUCUCUAUACAAUACCUUCUCUUAAUAAUAUAACUAGCCUUCAUAUGCACGCGAUGCGUGCGUUAAUUUCAAAA
Molecule: long non-coding RNA, 799 nt
Organism: Beta vulgaris subsp. vulgaris (sugar beet)
Lineage: Eukaryota; Viridiplantae; Streptophyta; Magnoliopsida; Caryophyllales; Amaranthaceae
Exons: 2
Source: RefSeq, a predicted model, not a curated record